AUUGAACGCUGGCGGAAUGCUUUACACAUGCAAGUCGAACGGUAGAGGGGGCAACCCCUCGAGAGUGGCGAACGGGUGAGUAAUAUAUCGGAACGUGCCCAGUCGUGGGGGAUAACGUAGCGAAAGUUACGCUAAUACCGCAUACGAUCUAAGGAUGAAAGCGGGGGAUCGCAAGACCUCGCGCGAUUGGAGCGGCCGAUAUCAGAUUAGGUAGUUGGUGGGGUAAAGGCUCACCAAGCCAACGAUCUGUAGCUGGUCUGAGAGGACGACCAGCCACACUGGAGCUGGGACACGGUCCAGAAUCCUACGGGAGGCAGCAGUGUGGAAUUUUGGACAAUGGACGCAAGUCUGAUCCAGCCAUUCCGCGUGCAGGAUGAAGGCCCUCGGGUUGUAAACUGCUUUUGUACGGAACGAAAAGGUCUCUCUUAAUACGGGGGACUCAUGACGGUACCGUAAGAAUAAGCACCGGCUAACUACGUGCCAGCAGCCGCAGUAA
RNAcentral lists this ribosomal RNA (496 nucleotides) under uncultured bacterium. RNAcentral describes it as "partial 16S ribosomal RNA". It matches the Rfam family "Bacterial small subunit ribosomal RNA", at positions 30 to 523 of the family's 1533-position model. The record is from RNAcentral.